This 430-nucleotide ribosomal RNA is filed under the name uncultured Nocardiaceae bacterium. RNAcentral describes it as "bacterial SSU rRNA". It matches the Rfam family "Bacterial small subunit ribosomal RNA", at positions 354 to 796 of the family's 1533-position model. Lineage: Bacteria; Bacillati; Actinomycetota; Actinomycetes; Mycobacteriales; Nocardiaceae. The record is from RNAcentral.
GUGGGGAAUAUUGCACAAUGGGCGAAAGCCUGAUGCAGCGACGCCGCGUGAGGGAUGACGGCCUUCGGGUUGUAAACCUCUUUCAGCAGGGACGAAGCGCAAGUGACGGUACCUGCAGAAGAAGCACCGGCUAACUACGUGCCAGCAGCCGCGGUAAUACGUAGGGUGCAAGCGUUGUCCGGAAUUACUGGGCGUAAAGAGUUCGUAGGCGGUUUGUCGCGUCGUUUGUGAAAACCAGCAGCUCAACUGCUGGCUUGCAGGCGAUACGGGCAGACUUGAGUACUGCAGGGGAGACUGGAAUUCCUGGUGUAGCGGUGAAAUGCGCAGAUAUCAGGAGGAACACCGGUGGCGAAGGCGGGUCUCUGGGCAGUAACUGACGCUGAGGAACGAAAGCGUGGGUAGCGAACAGGAUUAGAUACCCCAGUAGUCC